ACGGGAGGCAGCAGUGAGGAAUAUUGGUCAAUGGACGGAAGUCUGAACCAGCCAAGUCGCGUGAAGGAUGAAGGUAUUAUGUAUUGUAAACUUCUUUAGACGUAGAGAAAUAAGCCCCUCGUGAGGGGUGAUGCUAGUAUACGUAGAAUAAGGAUCGGCUAACUCCGUGCCAGCAGCCGCGGUAAUACGGAGGAUCCGAGCGUUAUCCGGAUUUAUUGGGUUUAAAGGGUGCGCAGGCGGCGCGUCAAGUCAGCGGUAAAAUGUCGGUGCUCAACGCCGGCCGGCCGUUGAAACUGUCGUGCUCGAGUUCGUGCGAGGAGAGCGGAAUGCGUGGUGUAGCGGUGAAAUGCAUAGAUAUCACGCAGAACGCCGAUUGCGAAGGCAGCCCUCCAGCACUGGACUGACGCUGAGGCACGAAAGCGUGGGUAUCGAACAGGAUUAGAUACCCUGGUA
This 453-nucleotide ribosomal RNA is filed under the name uncultured Barnesiella sp. RNAcentral's name for it is "partial 16S ribosomal RNA". It matches the Rfam family "Bacterial small subunit ribosomal RNA", at positions 341 to 792 of the family's 1533-position model. The record is from RNAcentral. Lineage: Bacteria; Pseudomonadati; Bacteroidota; Bacteroidia; Bacteroidales; Barnesiellaceae.